RNAcentral lists this transfer RNA (73 nucleotides) under Guentherus altivela (highfin tadpole fish). RNAcentral describes it as "tRNA-Asp". It matches the Rfam family "tRNA". From Rfam's summary of the family: Transfer RNA (tRNA) molecules are approximately 80 nucleotides in length. Their secondary structure includes four short double-helical elements and three loops (D, anti-codon, and T loops). Further hydrogen bonds mediate the characteristic L-shaped molecular structure. tRNAs have two regions of fundamental functional importance: the anti-codon, which is responsible for specific mRNA codon recognition, and the 3' end, to which the tRNAs corresponding amino acid is attached (by aminoacyl-tRNA synthetases). tRNAs cope with the degeneracy of the genetic code in two manners: having more than one tRNA (with a specific anti-codon) for a particular amino acid; and 'wobble' base-pairing, i.e. permitting non-standard base-pairing at the 3rd anti-codon position. Lineage: Eukaryota; Metazoa; Chordata; Actinopteri; Ateleopodiformes; Ateleopodidae. The record is from RNAcentral.
AAGACACUAAUAAAGCCUGUUAUUAUAUUGCCUUGUCAAGACAAAAUCGUGGGUUAAAAUCCCACGUGUCUUA